Molecule: ribosomal RNA, 332 nt
Filed under: uncultured eukaryote
Lineage: Eukaryota
Description: partial 18S ribosomal RNA
Rfam family: Eukaryotic small subunit ribosomal RNA
Source: RNAcentral
CCCUUAGAUGUUCUGGGCUGCACACGUGCUACACUGGCAGGUUCAGCGAGCUUCAUGCCCUGAUCUGAAAGGAAUGGGAAAUCUUUUCAAAACCUGCCGUGCUUGGGAUAGAUGUUUGCAAUUAUUCAUCUUCAACGAGGAUUGCCUUGUAAGCGCACGUCAUCAGCGUGCAUUGAAUACGACCCUGUAUUCUGUACACACCGCCCGUCGCUCCUACCGAUUGAAGUUUUCGGUGAGUUGACAGGAGGAUUUUUUUGAAACUGGUUCGCCAGUGGAUUUUAGAUCCAAAUGCCAACGAAUCGAUGGCUUUGGAGGAAGGAGAAGUCGUAACA